UUUUUUAGUAACAUUGAUAUUGUCAUCACCGUUGUUGUCCUUCAAUUUGUAGCGCGAGAGAUACCAGUGGCUACCAGUGACAUCCUUCCAAAAAAUGCAAGACUAACUAUAAUCAAAUUGUUAUUAUUCUUCAAUGAUAUAUGUCAUAUAGUUCUUGAUUUAAAAAAAAUAGAUGAAUUAGAAGAUGAGACCGCAAUAAUCUUGUGUCAAUU
RNAcentral lists this long non-coding RNA (212 nucleotides) under Lathyrus oleraceus (garden pea). Its description in RNAcentral is "Pisum sativum (pea) long non-coding RNA (PSAT_LNC014176)". The record is from RNAcentral. Lineage: Eukaryota; Viridiplantae; Streptophyta; Magnoliopsida; Fabales; Fabaceae.